Molecule: long non-coding RNA, 1386 nt
Organism: Alligator mississippiensis (American alligator)
Lineage: Eukaryota; Metazoa; Chordata; Crocodylia; Alligatoridae
Exons: 3
Source: RefSeq, a predicted model, not a curated record
CGGGCAGGAUGUGGCAAUGUCCUUACUGCUCCCUCAGCCACAACCUCUACUUCCCCAGGCCGACGUGUAAGGGGUUGUUUCAACUGUCGCUGACAUUUAAAAUCCCCAGGGAGCUCAUGACACUGCCCUAACCCCUCCCGGCAUGGAGGUCUCUCCGUGUCAAAUACUCUGCCCAGACGCGUACCCUACCUGCUUUGCAGAGUCGUGCCAAAACCGAACGGCGUCUUUCCACAAGCAAAACGCACACAAGCCACCACUCUCCGUGUGACCCGCUGCCCCUUUACAUGCUUCCUUCUAGGUGGAUACACUCAGAUGUCAUCUGUACGUAGCUGGAACAUUGGGCACAUGUAGGUAACUGAACUCUUAGGACCAGAAACUCUGCUGGUUAAAUUAACCUGGGCAUCAAGAUCUGGGAUUCGGAGUGCGUGGUGGAGAGAGGCCCCGAGAGGGACAACAUCACCGAGAGGAAUGAAGGCCUGACGCGCGAUUCCACCAUGACGCCCACCGAAGUCAUGAUCGUUCAGUUUUUUGUUAUGAAUGUGAUUUAAUGUAUGUGUGUGUGUGCCGGCUAUUAUUUGAUUCGAUCCCUUGAGGACGAACUUUUAUUGUUGACUGAUUUUGUUUUUGCUCGUUUAGUUUCGCAAACCAUUGACAGAGCUAUGAAUAACCUGGAUGAUAGGUUUGAAGUAUAAUUCUAUUGUGCCUUCAGCAAGGGGGGAUGUCAUGACCCAAAGGUCUGAUGUUUUUGUGUGUGCUUCGGCACUAAGAAUUAUCCCCGUGGGUAUAUCGCUUCAUUGCACGGAGGAGUUCUGCUGCGCAGAGAACCCGCAUGCAAAGGAGUGUUCCCGCCACUUUGCAGCGAUCUUUGCAGGGUGCAUUUCCUUUGCAGCACAGAAAUGCACGGUGCAAAGGUUUUCCGCUCGUCAUAUGCAAAUUUGUGCCCCGCAAUUGGCUAGUUCUAAAUUAUUCACACGUGGCAGCUAGUGAUUGGCCUGCUAGCCAUAUAAGAGGCUUGAGCAGUUUCCGCCCAAGCCGAAGAGGACUCCGCAUCCAUCUCGUGGGGACUCUGGGUGUGCGCGGCAGGGUAAUAGAAACCCUGUGUGUCGCUCAGAGGAGUUUGGCGGCCUGAUCCACCGCCCACCUCUUCCCGUCUUCGAACGGAGCCUACUAUAAGACGUAACAACGAGUUUUAUGCGCGCUUGUCCUGGACAUCCGGAGUUUGUCUGCGUGGAGCCUAGCAAGCUCCACGUAAUUGUUCGUGUUCUGUCUGCGUGGAGCCUUGCAACCUCCACGUGUGUUCGUGUUUUUUGUUGUAACCGCGACUCAAGCAAGUUCUCAGCCUACACCACGACCAUCUCGGUGUAAGUAAAAUAAUCUUAAAAUCAA